GAUGAACGCUGGCGGCGUGCCUAAUACAUGCAAGUCGAGCGAACAGACGAGGAGCUUGCUCCUUCGACGUUAGCGGCGGACGGGUGAGUAACACGUAGGUAACCUACCUAUAAGACUGGGAUAACUUCGGGAAACCGGAGCUAAUACCGGAUAAUAUUUCGAACCGCAUGGUUCGAUAGUGAAAGAUGGCUUUGCUAUCACUUAUAGAUGGACCUGCGCCGUAUUAGCUAGUUGGUAAGGUAACGGCUUACCAAGGCAACGAUACGUAGCCGACCUGAGAGGGUGAUCGGCCACACUGGAACUGAGACACGGUCCAGUCUCCUACGGGAGGCAGCAGUAGGGAAUCUUCCGCAAUGGGCGAAAGCCUGACGGAGCAACGCCGCGUGAGUGAUGAAGGUCUUCGGAUCGUAAAACUCUGUUAUUAGGGGAGAACAAACGUGUAAGUAACUGUGCACGUCUUGACGGUACCUAAUCAGAAAGCCACGGCUAACUACGUG
Molecule: ribosomal RNA, 497 nt
Filed under: uncultured bacterium
Lineage: Bacteria
Description: partial 16S ribosomal RNA
Rfam family: Bacterial small subunit ribosomal RNA
Source: RNAcentral